AAUUAAAUGCUACCUCGAUGUUGAAUUAAGAAAAGAUCUAAUAGAAAAAAAUUAGAUUAUAGGUCUGUUCGACCUUUAAAUUCUUACAUGAUUUGAGUUAAGACCGGUGUAAGCCAGGUUGGUUUCUAUCUUCAUAAUAGAAGUUUUUAUAGUACGAAAGGACCUAAAAACUUAAUUUUAUUAAUUAAUUAGCUUAUACAAAGCAAGUAUUUUGAAAAUACUAGAAAGAUUUAAAAAUUUAUUAAUUUUAUGU
RNAcentral lists this unclassified non-coding RNA (253 nucleotides) under Frankliniella occidentalis (western flower thrips). RNAcentral's name for it is "partial contains large subunit ribosomal RNA (rrnL); may also contain tRNA-Leu (trnL)". The stretch from base 1 to 133 matches the Rfam family "Bacterial large subunit ribosomal RNA", at positions 2512 to 2645 of the family's 2925-position model. Lineage: Eukaryota; Metazoa; Arthropoda; Insecta; Thysanoptera; Thripidae. The record is from RNAcentral.